This 331-nucleotide long non-coding RNA is filed under the name Malus domestica (apple). RNAcentral's name for it is "long non-coding RNA (MDOM_LNC012436)". The record is from RNAcentral. Lineage: Eukaryota; Viridiplantae; Streptophyta; Magnoliopsida; Rosales; Rosaceae.
GUGGACUUAACCCAUCCACGACAAUCCUUGAUAACAAGAAGUUCGAAGUUACUUGGGGCGCAAGUAAUCAGCCUAUUUCUUAGUUUUACUUCUGUUAUAUUAUGAUUGCCACAGAAGUUUGAGUAUAGAAUUAAUUCUGAUGGGAAGCCUCAAGGCCUAUACUUAAGGCCAUACAAAGGCACCUAUCUGGGUUCGUUUUGCUCUUCGGGCUCGGGUGAUUAAAGUAUAACAGUUGUAAUACUUCUGCAACAAUGAACCAACCAUUAUAUGUUUGAGUACUUGGUUAGUUUUGAUUGCGAGCCUUAAGGCCUACACCUAAGGCCCCACAAAG